GACGAACGCUGGCGGCGUGCUUAACACAUGCAAGUCGAACGGAAAGGCCCUGCUUUUGUGGGGUGCUCGAGUGGCGAACGGGUGAGUAACACGUGAGUAACCUGCCCUUGACUUUGGGAUAACUUCAGGAAACUGGGGCUAAUACCGGAUAGGAGCUCCUGCUGCAUGGUGGGGGUUGGAAAGUUUCGGCGGUUGGGGAUGGACUCGCGGCUUAUCAGCUUGUUGGUGGGGUAGUGGCUUACCAAGGCUUUGACGGGUAGCCGGCCUGAGAGGGUGACCGGCCACAUUGGGACUGAGAUACGGCCCAGACUCCUACGGUAGGCAGCAGUGGGGAAUAUUGCACAAUGGGCGGAAGCCUGAUGCAGCAACGCCGCGUGCGGGAUGACGGCCUUCGGGUUGUAAACCGCUUUCGCCUGUGACGAAGCGUGAGUGACGGUAAUGGGUAAGGAAGCACCGGCUAACUACGUG
This 468-nucleotide ribosomal RNA is filed under the name uncultured bacterium. RNAcentral's name for it is "partial 16S ribosomal RNA". It matches the Rfam family "Bacterial small subunit ribosomal RNA", at positions 28 to 507 of the family's 1533-position model. The record is from RNAcentral.